This 423-nucleotide ribosomal RNA is filed under the name Verrucomicrobiota bacterium. RNAcentral's name for it is "Verrucomicrobia bacterium partial 16S ribosomal RNA". It matches the Rfam family "Bacterial small subunit ribosomal RNA", at positions 355 to 776 of the family's 1533-position model. The record is from RNAcentral. RNAcentral also lists the same sequence under 1 other name. Lineage: Bacteria; Pseudomonadati; Verrucomicrobiota.
UGAGGAAUAUUGGUCAAUGGGCGCGAGCCUGAACCAGCCAAGUCGCGUGAGGGACGACGGUCCUACGGAUUGUAAACCUCUUUAGGCGGGGAGUAAUGUGCUCUACGAGUAGAGUAGUGAGAGUACCCGCAGAAUAAGCAUCGGCUAACUCCGUGCCAGCAGCCGCGGUAAUACGGAGGAUGCGAGCGUUAUCCGGAUUUAUUGGGUUUAAAGGGUGCGCAGGCUGUGCAUCAAGUCAGCGGUAAAAUCUCGGGGCUCAACCCCGUUUAGCCGUUGAAACUGGUGUGCUGGAGUGUGCGCGAGGAAGGCGGAAUGCGCGGUGUAGCGGUGAAAUGCAUAGAUAUUGCGCAGAACUCCGAUUGCGAAGGCAGCCUUCCAGUGCAUGACUGACGCUGAGGCACGAAAGCGUGGGUAUCGAACAGG